This 468-nucleotide ribosomal RNA is filed under the name uncultured bacterium. RNAcentral describes it as "partial 16S ribosomal RNA". It matches the Rfam family "Bacterial small subunit ribosomal RNA", at positions 28 to 507 of the family's 1533-position model. The record is from RNAcentral.
GACGAACGCUGGCGGCGUGCUUAACACAUGCAAGUCGAACGGAAAGGCCCUGCUUUUGUGGGGUGCUCGAGUGGCGAACGGGUGAGUAACACGUGAGUAACCUGCCCUUGACUUUGGGAUAACUUCAGGAAACUGGGGCUAAUACCGGAUAGGAUCUCCUGCUGCAUGGUGGGGGUUGGAAAGUUUCGGCGGUUGGGGAUGGUCUCGCGGGUUAUCGGCUUGUUGGUGGGGUAGUGGCUGACCAAGGGUUUGACGGGUAGCCGGCAUGAGAGGGGGACCGGGGACAAGGGGACUGAGGGACGGAGCAGAAGGGUAUGUGAGGCAGUGGGGGGGAACAUUGCGGAAUGAGGGGAAGCGUGAGGUGGCGACGCUGGGAGCGGGAAGAUCGGUUUCGGGGGGUAAACCAAUGUGGCCUGUGACGAAGCCUGAGUGACGGUAAUGGAUAAAGAAGCACCGGCUAACUACGUG